CCAUGCAUGUCUAAGUAGAAGCUUUAUACUGUGAAACUGCGAAUGGCUCAUUAACUCUUUUAUAGUUUAUUUGAUGGUGCUUCCUACUCGGAUAACCGUAGGAAAACUAGAGCUAAUACGUGCGUAUAAUCCCGACUUCGGAAGGGACGUAUUUAUUAGAUAAGAGGCCGACCGGGGAAACCCGACCUUCGGUGAAUCAUAAUAACUUCACGAAUCGCAUGGCCCUGCGCCGGCGAUGUUUCAUUCAAAUUUCUGCCCUAUCAACUUUCGACGGUAGGGUAGUGGCCUACCGUGGUGGUAACGGGUAACGGAGGAUUAGGGUUCGAUUCCGGAGAGGGAGCCUGAGAAACGGCUACCACAUCCAAGGAAGGCAGCAGGCGCGCAAAUUACCCAAAUCCCAACUCGGGGAGGUAGUGACAAGAAAUAACGAUGCUCCGGCCUACGGUCGGGUAAUCGGAAUGAGAACAACAUAAAUCCCUUAUCGAGGAUCAAUUGGAGGGCAAGUCUGGUGCCAGCAGCCGCGGUAAUUCCAGCUCCAAUAGCGUAUAUUUAAGUUGCUGCGGUUAAAAAGCUCGUAGUCGGAUUUCGGGUGGUACCUGCCGGUCCGCCUCAGGUGAGUACUGGCAGGCGCUACCUUUCUGCCGAGGACAGGCUCGUGGGCUUUACUGUCUGGGGUCUGGAGUCGGCGACGUCACUUUGAGUAAAUUA
Molecule: ribosomal RNA, 708 nt
Filed under: uncultured Chlorophyta
Lineage: Eukaryota; Viridiplantae; Chlorophyta
Description: SSU rRNA
Rfam family: Eukaryotic small subunit ribosomal RNA
Source: RNAcentral